RNAcentral lists this long non-coding RNA (4166 nucleotides) under Aquilegia coerulea. Its description in RNAcentral is "long non-coding RNA (ACOE_LNC001529)". Lineage: Eukaryota; Viridiplantae; Streptophyta; Magnoliopsida; Ranunculales; Ranunculaceae. The record is from RNAcentral.
GCAAAGCUUCUUCAUAACAAAGGCUUUCACAUUACCUUUGUCCACACUGAGUUCACUUACAAACGUAUACUUAAAUCUCGAGGUUCUGACUUGCUCAAGGGUUUACCUGAUUUCAUAUUCAAAACUAUCCCUGAUGGUCUCCCUAGUUCUGAUGAUCAGAUCACCCAAGACCAUGGAGCUCUUUGUGAUUCAAUUGACAAGAACUGCUUGGUACCCUUUCGAGAUCUCGUAAAUGAGCUCAACAACAAUUGUAAUGUACCUCCAGUAUCAUGUAUAGUUGCUGAUGGAAUCAUGAGUUUCACUUUAGAUGUCGCUCAAGAACUUUGUAUCCCAGAAGUCUUGUUUUGGACUACUAGUGCAGCUGGAUUCAUGGGCUAUCUUCAGACUCCUCAGCUUAUCCAAGAUGAUCUUUUACCAAUUAAAGGUAUAUAUCUAUGGUCUAUAUAUAAUUGUUCUUAUUAUAUAUUGAAAUUUGUUGAUGAAAUGGAAUUAUAUAUAUAUAUAUAUAUAUAUAUAUAUUGCAUUAAAACUGCUUAAUAACUGUCGCUUUUCUAUAUAUGUAUAGAUCUGAGCUACGUUACAAAUGGGUAUCUUGAGAAAACGAUUGAUUGGGUACCUGGAAUUGAAGAUAUUCGUCUUAAAGAUCUACCAAGUUUCUUCCUUCGAAUAACAGAUCGAAACCAUAUCUCGUUUACGUACAAUCUUAAACAAGUUGAAAAAUCUUCGAAGGCGUCUGCCAUUGUUUUAAAUACUUUUGACGAGUUGGAGCAUGAUGUUUUAAAUGCAAUAAAACCAAAAUUGCCACCAAUUUACACUAUAGGAUUUUUGCACUUGCUGGAUAACAAAAUAUCAGAUAGCAGAUUGGAUUCCAUUGAUUCAAAUUUAUGGAAAGAAGAUUUGGACUGUCUCAAAUGGCUCGAUUCAAAAAAAGAGAACUCGGUUCUUUACAUAAAUUUUGGUAGCAUCACUGUCAUGACACUUCAACAAAUGAUUGAAUUCGCUUGGGGAAUUGCUAACAGCAAGAAAACAUUCUUUUGGAUCAUUAGGCCAAACCUUGUGUCUGGUGACUCGGCAAUUCUCCCACCUGAGUUCAUAAUGGAAACAAAAGAAAGAGGUCUAUUGGCAAGUUGGUGUCCACAAGAACAAGUACUCAGUCACCCUUCUGUAGGUGGUUUCUUGACCCACAGCGGGUGGAAUUCUACGACCGAAAGCAUAUCAAGUGGUGUGCCGAUGAUAUGUUGGCCUUUCUGUGGUGAUCAACAAAUGAAUAGCACCUACUCAUGUCGCCACUGGAGUAUAGGCAUGGAGAUUGAUAAAAAUGUGAAGAGAGAGGAAGUGGAGAGUGUUGUAAGAGAGUUAAUGGAAGGAAAGAAAGGUAUGGAAAUGAAGCUGCAAGCAAUUGAAUGGAAACAGAAAGCUAAAGAGGCUGUUGCACCUGGAGGAUCAUCAUCCCAGAACAUAGACAAGCUUAUCAAGGAAAUUCUAUUGUAGUAUAUUUAUUAAUUUGUAUUUCUGUUUGUUUAAAUAAUUUGCUAGGUUCGCGGAGGGGAAACUUUUAACUAAUACGUACUUCCCAGCUUUAAGGCUAACCUAUUCUGGAUAUUCUAUGUAAUAUUUUUUGAUUUUGUAUUUUUUGUUUUGGCCACCACUCAUAGAGUUUGCAAAUAGACUUCGAGGCAAAUUACCUUCAAGAUACAACAAAGCAAUGAAAUUAGCGGUUAGCAAUAACCGAUAAUUUUUUCUAGAACACUGAAAGAUAUUGAUUAUAAUAAGAAGGAAGAGAAAGAACUAAAAAAUAUUGAGAUUGAAUUAUUUUUGUGGCAUUCAGAUAAUUUUUUCUAGAACACUUAAAGAAUAUUGAUUAUAAUAAGAAGGAAGAGAAAGAACUAAAAAAUAUUGAGAUUGAAUUAUUUUUGUGGCAUUCAGAUAAUUUUUUCUAGAACACUUAAAGAAUAUUGAUUAUAAUAAGAAGGAAGAGAAAGAACUAAAAAAUAUUGAGAUUGAAUUAUUUUUGUGGCAUUCACAACAUACAUAUUUAUAGUUGAAUUGAUGAUCAUAUGUGUCUCCGACGAAUUAGACAUUAAUAUUACAUUAUAUUGAAAACAUUGUUUCAAGCAGAGAAAUGAUAAUUAUAAUAUGAGAUUUUGGCACUUACCCCCAUUUGAAAGUUGAAAUUUGCGUUACCCCCAAUUUGAAAAAAUAUAGCAGUUAACCCCCCAAUUGGACGGAAAAAUGAGAUGACGUUACAAAAAUCAAAUUUUGAAUUUUCGUAAAAUAAAAUAUUUUAAUAAUACCAAAAAUACCUUUUUUUAAACACGUAAAUAAUAAACAUAAUUAGUAAAACCCCCCAUUGAAACAUACAUAAUUAACAAUACCCCAAAUCGAUUUGCAAAAAAAAUUGAAAGAGAAAGAUGAAUUUUUAAGAAAGAAGAUGAAAUUUGUUUGAGAAAUUUGUUAAGAAUAAUAGUAGAUAAAUGUUUCCCUCAAUCACCCAUAUUUUCUUACCUAAUUUCGCAAACAAAUUUCACUUCUUUCCUCAAAAUAUUUCAAUAGGGGGUAUUACUACUUAGGGUCUGUUUGAUUCGGGCGGGAAAUCAAUUUACCGGGAAAAAGAUUUACCAUAUGCAAAUAUUCGGAAAAUAAAAUUUUCAUAAAAUGAUUAUAGUACUAUAUUUAUCAUGAAAAUCAUUGGAAAAUGUUGUGAAUAUGAUUUUAGUGAGAGUUCAUAAAGAUUCAGCGACAAUAUGUCCCAACAUUUUUACAAAUCAUUUCAUUUUCAAAAUUUACCGUUUAUUUUCCAUGUAAUCAAACAUGGGAAAUUGAGAUUUCCCGGUAAAUCUAUUUCCCGGCCUCGAAUCAAACAGACCCUUAUAUAUGUUUCAGUGGGGGUAUUACUAUUAACUAAUAUAUGUUUCAAAAACAGAAGAGUAGUUUUGGUAUUGUGAAAAUAUUUUAUAUAAAAAGGAAUCAAAAAUUGAUUUUCGUUGUCUCUUUUUUCCGUCUAAUGAGGGGAACUGCUAUGCUAUUAUAUCACUGACAAGUGACAAAUGACAAUGCAGAGAAGACAAAGCAUGCAGAGUUGGCAAUGAAUCAAAACCAUAUAUCUUCAUUUUGUUUUUGAGUUCAUCAUACAUGCAUGCUGACAUCUUAAUUAAUAAAUUUCAUCUACCAACUGCAUUUGAUUUAAGUUCAUCACCACUCAAAAAAGAGAUGCUGGCAGGGGGGGGGGGGGGUUUAAGUGCCAAAAUCUCUAAGUACCAUUUCAGAUCACCCAUGUGUUUGGCAAAGUACCAUGUCAGAUCACCCAUGUAUUUGGCAACAUAUCUGGUACAAAUAAUUGAGAGAAAAAACAAAAUUUAUUUAGAGCCAUUAUGCCAUUAUAUCACUGACAAGUGACAAAUGACAAUGCAGAGAAGACAAAGCAUGCAGAGUUGGCAAUGAAUCAAAACCAUAUAUCUUCAUUUUGUUUUUGAGUUCAUCAUACAUGCAUGUUGACAUCUUAAUUAAUAAAUUUCAUCUACCAACUGCAUUUGAUUUAAGUUCAUUACCACUCAAAAAAGAGAUGGUGGCUUCUCCUUUGGCAACAACCAACAACAAACCCCAUGCAGUUUGCAUAGAAUUUGAAUUUGUUCUACAUUUUUUAAGAGUGAAACAACACUCUCUACCAGAUUUGCCACGUACUACUAAUUUUUUUUAAAAUUUAACUGGUUCCACUAGAGUUAACAGUAUUCAUCUAACUGUUUUAGUUUUUUAAUUAAUUUUACUUAAUAUUGAAAGAAAAAAAUCAAAAUCAAAAUUUUUAUUUUUUUAUAUAGCCACGUGGCAAGAUCUAGGGGAAAGUAUUGUUCCGCACGCACUCUUAAAGAGUGUGGAACAAAUUCGCACUCAUUUGCAUACCAUACCCUGCCCUUUGCCACAUAAACCCUUUGCUCAAAAUAGCAAAGCUUUUUCAUAACAAAGGCUUUCACAUUACCUUUGUUCACACUGAGUACAACUACAAACGUAUGCUCAAAUCUCGAGGUUCAGACUCGCUCAAGGGAUUACCUGAUUUCCAAUUCAAAAGUAUUCCUGAUCGAUGGUCUUCCACCUUCUGAUGUAGCUGAGGUCACCCAAGACCUUGCAGCUCUUUGUGAUUCAAUGGACAAGAAAUGCUUGGUACCCUUUCG